AGCUCCAAUAGCGUAUAUUAAUGUUGUUGCAGUUAAAAAGCUCGUAGUUGGAUCUCGGGGCGUGGAGGCGUCGGUCCGCCGUGAAGGUGUGCACUGGCCCGCCCGCUCUUUCCUUGGGGACGUUCGCCGCGGCCAUUAGUUUGGCUGCGGUAUUCCGGCCUCGGCCGGUUUCUGGCGCUUCGGCGCCUGGAAUGCCCCAUCGUUUACCUUGAAUAAAUUAGAGUGUUCCAAGCAGGCAUGUUCGCCGUGAAUACAUUAGCAUGGGAUAAUGGAAUAGGACUUUGGUGCUAUUUCGUUGGUUUUCAGAACCAGAGUAAUGAUUAAUAGGGACAGUUGGGGGCAUUCGUAUUUAAUUGUCAGAGGUGAAAUUCUUGGAUUUAUGAAAGACGAACUUGGGCGA
Molecule: ribosomal RNA, 400 nt
Filed under: phytoplankton environmental sample
Lineage: Eukaryota
Description: partial small subunit ribosomal RNA
Rfam family: Eukaryotic small subunit ribosomal RNA
Source: RNAcentral